Molecule: transfer RNA, 83 nt
Filed under: Felis catus (domestic cat)
Lineage: Eukaryota; Metazoa; Chordata; Mammalia; Carnivora; Felidae
Rfam family: tRNA
About the family: Transfer RNA (tRNA) molecules are approximately 80 nucleotides in length. Their secondary structure includes four short double-helical elements and three loops (D, anti-codon, and T loops). Further hydrogen bonds mediate the characteristic L-shaped molecular structure. tRNAs have two regions of fundamental functional importance: the anti-codon, which is responsible for specific mRNA codon recognition, and the 3' end, to which the tRNAs corresponding amino acid is attached (by aminoacyl-tRNA synthetases). tRNAs cope with the degeneracy of the genetic code in two manners: having more than one tRNA (with a specific anti-codon) for a particular amino acid; and 'wobble' base-pairing, i.e. permitting non-standard base-pairing at the 3rd anti-codon position.
Source: Rfam by way of RNAcentral
GCCUGGGUGGCUCAGUCGGGUAAGCGUCUGAUUUCUGCUCAGGUCGUGAUCUCAGUUUGUGGGUUUGAGCCCCACAUCAGGCU